CUCUGGAGAGCGGCGCCCGCUUCAGCAGGGCGCCCACCGAUGGGGCCAGGACGACCGUAGAGCAGCGUGUCGGCCAGACAAUCUCUCAGGUACAUGGACAGAG
RNAcentral lists this non-coding RNA (103 nucleotides) under Candidatus Accumulibacter. RNAcentral describes it as "Glycine sequence". It matches the Rfam family "Glycine riboswitch aptamer", at positions 9 to 86 of the family's 94-position model. From Rfam's summary of the family: This family represents the bacterial glycine riboswitch. Glycine riboswitches usually consist of two metabolite-binding aptamers domains with similar structures in tandem. RNAcentral also lists the same sequence under 1 other name. The record is from RNAcentral. Lineage: Bacteria; Pseudomonadati; Pseudomonadota; Betaproteobacteria.